Molecule: ribosomal RNA, 1439 nt
Filed under: uncultured bacterium
Lineage: Bacteria
Description: partial 16S ribosomal RNA
Rfam family: Bacterial small subunit ribosomal RNA
Source: RNAcentral
AGAGUUUGGAUCCUGGCUCAGAACGAACGCUGGCGGCAUGCCUAACACAUGCAAGUCGAACGAAGGCUUCGGCCUUAGUGGCGCACGGGUGCGUAACGCGUGGGAAUCUGCCCUUGGGUUCGGAAUAACAGUGAGAAAUUACUGCUAAUACCGGAUGAUGACUUCGGUCCAAAGAUUUAUCGCCCAAGGAUGAGCCCGCGUAAGAUUAGCUAGUUGGUGAGGUAAAGGCUCACCAAGGCGACGAUCUUUAGCUGGUCUGAGAGGAUGAUCAGCCACACUGGGACUGAGACACGGCCCAGACUCCUACGGGAGGCAGCAGUGGGGAAUAUUGGACAAUGGGCGAAAGCCUGAUCCAGCAAUGCCGCGUGAGUGAUGAAGGCCUUAGGGUUGUAAAGCUCUUUUACCAGGGAUGAUAAUGACAGUACCUGGAGAAUAAGCUCCGGCUAACUCCGUGCCAGCAGCCGCGGUAAUACGGAGGGAGCUAGCGUUGUUCGGAAUUACUGGGCGUAAAGCGCACGUAGGCGGCCAUUCAAGUCAGAGGUGAAAGCCCGGGGCUCAACCCCGGAACUGCCUUUGAAACUAGAUGGCUUGAAUCUUGGAGAGGCGAGUGGAAUUCCGAGUGUAGAGGUGAAAUUCGUAGAUAUUAGAAAGAAUACCAAUUGCGAAGGCAGCUUUCUGGAUCAUUACUGACACUGAGGAACGAAAGCAUGGGUAGCGAAGAGGAUUAGAUACCCUCGUAGUCCAUGCCGUAAACGAUGUGUGUUAGACGUUGGAAAUUUAUUUUCUGUGUCGCAGCGAAAGCAAUAAACACACCGCCUGGGGAGUACGACCGCAAGGUUAAAACUCAAAUGAAUUGACGGGGACCCGCACAAGUAGUGGAGCAUGUGGUUUAAUUCGAAGAUACGCGCAGAACCUUACCAACACUUGACAUGUUCGUCGCGACUUUAAGAGAUUAAAGUUUUCGGUUCGGCCGGACGAAACACAGGUGCUGCAUGGCUGUCGUCAGCUCGUGUCGUGAGAUGUUGGGUUAAGUCCCGCAACGAGCGCAACCCUCACUUUUAGUUGCCAUCAUUUAGUUGGGCACUCUGAAAGAACUGCCAGUGAUAAGCUGGAGGAAGGUGGGGAUGACGUCAAGUCCUCAUGGCCCUUACGUGUUGGGCUACACACGUGCUACAAUGGCAUUUACAAUAGGAAGCAAGACGGCGACGUUAAGCAAAUCCUAAAAAAAUGCCUCAGUUCGGAUUGUACUCUGCAACUCGAGUACAUGAAGCUGGAAUUACUAGUAAUCGCGGAUCAGCGCGCCGCGGUGAAUACGUUCCCGGGUCUUGUACACACCGCCCGUCACACCAUGGGAGUUGGUUCUACCUUAAGGCAAAGUUUAAUACCUUUGACCACGGUAUAGUCAGCGACUGGGGUGAAGUCGUAACAAGGUAGCCGUA